AUGUUUUUUCAAGCACCAGAAGUCAGACUGUUCAAUACAGCAUUAUCCCUGUAUCUGUCUCAUCUCAUGUGCUGUAUUAUUAUUCAUAUUAUGAAGCUUUCCCUGCAUCAAGCUGGACUUCACAUUCAUGGUUUUUUUCUUUUUUCUUUCUUUAAAAAAAAAAAACAAAAAAAAUUCGAAUUACUGUUAUCUUGCAGGAUAAACAGGCAUUUCUCAAGACCAAUCCUUCCUUACUCUUGAUAUAUGAAAGAUGAUAAAAUAUGGGGAUUGAUACAUCAAUAUAAUUCAGACAACAAAAGGAAGUCUGCUUACUUGAUUGUACUUCUAAUAAUAUUAUCCUAUUUUCAACAUCUUCUGCUUAUUUCUUAGCCUGAGAGUAAAAGUCCCAGUGCAUAUAAGCGUAAUGUAACCUAGGACCUAAUGACACAAAUGUGUUUAUUUUGAAACUCCAUGACAGGUGUUGGAGAAAAGGCAUACUCCAAUUAGAAUCCAGAACAAAUAUGCCUUUUUCCUUCAUGCAAUGGACAGACUUCAGCAGACCUUCUCCCCAUGACUACUGAAUGAUGCUAUCUUUCUGAACACAAGUGAUGUCACCUGCAAGCCCCUGACCAAGAAUACAUACAGAUUCAUUUUUAACUUUUGCUGUUAAGAGCUGUCCUUUAGUUCUGCCAGUAAGGGCUUGUAGACUUUAGAGAUAAGAGAUGACAGUUCUAAUCCUGUUUUUCUAUAAAUAUAUAGUUUAUGUAACAGUUUUAUCUGCUGUACUGCAAAUAGGGGUACCCUUACACUAUCUCUCCUCAAGUACAUAACUGAAACCUCUUAAGAGGUCAAAUAUGCAAAUAGCACAGCCAAAGUCUUAAACAUACAUCAGAUCACACAACUCCAAAAAGAGGUAGAUACCCCACUGUCAGACUGUGCACCAACUUAUGCAUUUCCACUACUUUGGUGAUGGUGGGUGGGAAAACUACCCAAACUAAAAUCUGGUUGUCCUCUAUAUGUGCCUUGCAGCUCUUGGCAAGAGCACAAUUUUGGAAUGCAGCUUUUAAGUAUAGGAAAUUUUUUCAUCUUUGUUCUAAUUCUUCUGCUACCUUCUUCCCUCCUUACAAAACCAAUGCAUUUCUGCUCCUAAUCCUGCCUAAUACAGACAGAUGAAGUGAGACAUAUCCUUUUGUUGUUUAAAACAAACAUGAGAUUCAGCUAAAAUGUUACAAGUAAUCACAAAAGUACUGAUGAUCUUAAGACAAAUAAGGUAGUUGUGCUGAAGGGCCUAAAGGAGGCAAAACAGAACAACCUGGGUCUGAGAAAACAACAACUAUGAAGAAAUCUUCAAAGAUUUGGAUUUGUUUUCAUCAUAAAAAAGUGUAAGCAGAGAUAUUAGCUUUCUAAUGAAUAAAAGAUUCUCCAUAUAUACUGAGGGAAAUUGA
Molecule: long non-coding RNA, 1424 nt
Filed under: Apteryx haastii (Great spotted kiwi)
Lineage: Eukaryota; Metazoa; Chordata; Aves; Apterygiformes; Apterygidae
Description: lncRNA (ENSAHAG00000017492.1)
Source: RNAcentral